AGAGGUGGCAAGCGUUGUUCGGAAUUACUGGGCGUAAAGGGCGCGUAGGCGGCUUGGUCAGUCCCGUGUGAAAUCCCUCGGCUCAACUGAGGAACUGCACGGGAAACUGCCUGGCUUGAGUUCGGGAGAGGGAAGCGGAAUUCCGGGUGUAGCGGUGAAAUGCGUAGAUAUCCGGAGGAACACCGGUGGCGAAGGCGGCUUCCUGGACCGACACUGACGCUGAGGCGCGAAAGCUAGGGGAGCAAACGGGAUUAGAUACCCCGGUAGUCCUAGCUGUAAACGAUGAGUGCUGGGUGUAGGAGGUAUCAACCCCUCCUGUGCCGAAGCUAACGCAUUAAGCACUCCGCCUGGGGAGUACGGUCGCAAGGCUGAA
This 373-nucleotide ribosomal RNA is filed under the name uncultured bacterium. RNAcentral's name for it is "bacterial SSU rRNA". It matches the Rfam family "Bacterial small subunit ribosomal RNA", at positions 527 to 898 of the family's 1533-position model. The record is from RNAcentral.